UGGUCACAGUGUUCUUCGGUGAGCGUCAGGCACACCAGGCCGCGCGCGUGCGUGACCAUGAAGUUGAUCGCUUCCGGUGUGACGUAAUCGGCUGCCAGGAUCA
This 103-nucleotide antisense RNA is filed under the name uncultured Ralstonia sp. RNAcentral describes it as "Vibrio RNA AS9". It matches the Rfam family "Vibrio RNA AS9". Rfam says of the family: Identified by direct cloning an parallel sequencing experiments with 5S/tRNA depletion. Confirmed by Northern blot. Lineage: Bacteria; Pseudomonadati; Pseudomonadota; Betaproteobacteria; Burkholderiales; Burkholderiaceae. The record is from RNAcentral.